Molecule: long non-coding RNA, 1355 nt
Organism: Ruditapes philippinarum (Manila clam)
Lineage: Eukaryota; Metazoa; Mollusca; Bivalvia; Venerida; Veneridae
Exons: 3
Source: RefSeq, a predicted model, not a curated record
AUCAACAACAACAACAACAACAUCAGACAAACCUUUAAUACAACAACAAACUUGUGCACGGUGUGAAGAUAAAGCUGAUAUUUUUACCAUUGGUUAUUUCUCUGGAUUUGGAUCUUGUGCUGCAAUAGUAGUUUUUGCUGUAUUGUUCUUCCUUAUUAGACGAAGGUAUGUUGCAAGAAAAACGCCCCAAAACAACAAACCAAAUAUUGAGAAUCCAACAUACUAUAACACUAGAACUGAUUUCGGCGCUGUAAAUGCUGAGUCGGCUGAUGUGACUAAUAAUUACGAGAGUUUGAGUAAUAACACGAUCACGGAUAAUGUAUACAACGAUCUAGGAACAACAUUAUCGUAGAUGUAAGAGAAAUCAGUUAUUGUGAUUCACUAGUGAAAACAACAAAAUGAAGAGUUAGACUAUAUCUGUUGUUUCUCUUAUUCGAUGCAAAUUGUAUUGUGGCGAUAAAAUCUUAGAUUCGUUAUCCCAAAUAUGCACUUACGACAACGAGGUAACAGUAUUGUCCCUUUGUGCGUGAACACUUUUAACCUUUAAUGUCCAUUUAAGCUUAUUCACAUGUUUCGGGAAUGCUUUAUCAUUCGUGCUAAGUGAAGUAUAUUGUUUAAAUUAAAGCGGUCGGGAAAACUCAAGCUAACAUUUCGGAAUUCCCCUAAGACUGCGUCGAGAUAGUGUCAAUUGCCUAUGUCUGUGUACUUUGAAAAUCAGCAAUGAUAAAAUAUCAUGAAUUCCCUUCUUUUAUGAUUAAUCAAGAUACAGUAAAUGUUGUUCAAACCUGUGAACAUAAACUAGGAUAAGAAAUAUGUGUCAGCUUAGAGUGUAGCAGCUUUUUCAAGUAUGACUUCUGCCUUGAAUGUUGAACUAUGGUUCUGAAGGGUUUUACAUAGCAAUUCAGAAAUCUGAAAUCAGUCUUCUUACAAAACUUAUAUAAAUUUGUGUUUCAAAGGAAAUGUCCUUAAUUAUGACUCCUUUGUUAAUGACCCCUUUAAUUCCUGAAUAGCAAUGCACAUGGAAAAAUAACAUUUUGUGGAUUAGAUUAUGCGCAAUCGGUUUUUUUAAUAUUUCUUAGGAAGACGAUUUUAAUCAAAGUCUAAAGUAUCUGACUAAUAUAAAAUAUUUAAGCUGUCGUUUGUUUGAUAUUGUAAAAGCUGUCUUACAUCAUUCGACUUUAAAUACAUUUAGUACUUUCUAUGAAACGCAACCUUGACUUGAAUCAUUCGUAUGCAAUAUAUCUGCCAUGGAGUGCAUACGAACGUCUUUUAGAUUAACUCAAACACAAUAGGUUCAGUUUCUAAAAUGAUUUUUACGCAUUACUCAAUUUAUGAGAAAAAAGUCAACAGUAAAU